GGGGUGAUCACUUGAUUGGCACAAAAAUUGGAUUUAAGUGAGGGAAGAGUUGCACAAAGUCAUCAGUUUCACUCUCUCUUUCAGAGCCAUCAAAGUCCAGAAGCAAGACAAAGGUUAGGAUAGCUGAUGAUGCCCUGGAAUGUAGUGGAUGAUCUUUGCCUGUGAUGUCUGACAAUGCUCUAAGCUCCCCCUAGUGCCUGCUUCAGCUGCCUUCAAGGCCAUUGAAACUGAAUUAUUCUCAUCUACCCAUUCUUCAAGGGGAAGUCUUCACAUGCUUAAGGUCAUCUACUCACAAGUCUUAUCAUGUUCCCCACUCAACCCCAAACACCUCACUCAAAUGAAGAUAAUUGAUUAUGAUACUCCCUUCCUCUUUUCUUGGAAUCUUCUGGGGCUCUUCGAUGAAAGAAGACUCCAAUUGAAAUUGGCAUUUAAAAGGAAUGGAACAAGUUUUUUCCCCCUUCGAGCUGCUUUUGACCUUCAAGAAAAUGAAAUAAAAUCUUGAUGGAUGAAAAAUAAGAUGGUACCUGGAAUUUCAGUGGCAGAGGAAACUCCCAGAUCUCCUUUAAAGAAAGACUGAAACAGGAUACCGGAUGUUCUUGAUAGGUAGAUGUUAGAUGGAGGACAGCGUCUUGCUUCAUUAUUAUUUUUCUCAUGUGCAUCUCUGAAAAGAAAUAUUAUCUGUUCCUCAUUCCAUACUGUUGGCGACUUCAUUUUUGUAGAGAGAGGAGCACAAGCCUUGAAACACACAUGAACUCUGAAGGCACUCAUGACAGCAUGUCUGGUGUUCCGUGACCUACGCUGAACUCCUUUAAAUAAAGAAUCAUGCCUCCUACCCUGAGAGGUGAGA
Molecule: long non-coding RNA, 847 nt
Filed under: Monodelphis domestica (gray short-tailed opossum)
Lineage: Eukaryota; Metazoa; Chordata; Mammalia; Didelphimorphia; Didelphidae
Description: lncRNA (ENSMODG00000031228.2)
Source: RNAcentral